Molecule: ribosomal RNA, 477 nt
Filed under: Triticum aestivum (bread wheat)
Lineage: Eukaryota; Viridiplantae; Streptophyta; Magnoliopsida; Poales; Poaceae
Description: partial small subunit ribosomal RNA
Source: RNAcentral
AUGAAGGCUCAUGCUGACAAACGAAGAUCAACACGUGUCUUUGAAGUUGGUGAUCUGGUGUAUCUCAAGCUCCAACCAUAUAUUGAAACAUCGGUGGCAAGGCGAGCCAACCACAAGCUUUCCUUCAAGUAUUAUGGGCCAUUUCCUGUCAUCACCAAGAUCAAUGAUGCAGCUUACAAGUUGGAGCUGCCAGCGCACUCUCAAGUGCAUCCAGUGUUCCAGGUUUUCCAACUCCGUCGUUGUCUCCGACCGGGUACGCAUUUUACAACAUCGCUGGCGUCGGAAGAAUGGUGCCCUGUGGAGCAGGUCCUAGUUUGCUGGUCGGAUCAAGUGGCGCUUGCGGACACUUGGGAGGACAAGGUGGCGCUGCAAGCCCGUUUUCCUAGAGCAGAGGCUUGGGGGCAAGCCUCAUCCCAAGGAGGAGGGGAUGUCAGUGCCCCCACUGCAGCCAUCGACAUCGACAAGCAGGACCCAUAG